CUGUUACAAAGACCUUGCAUUCAGAUGCACCUUCUCCACCACCUUCCUUUCAAGAGACAUCUCCAUCUCCCAUGUCCGAGCAUUCAUCCACAACUUCCACUCUCCCGCCUCCUCCUCCACCUCCAUCCCAUUCUUUUCCUGGAAUGUCUCAAUCUUUUGUUGUAAAUAACUCAUUUUCAAUUCCUCCUCCUCCUCCACCUCCACCCCAUUCUUUUCCUGGAAUGUCUCAAUCUUUUGUUGUAAAUAACUCAUUUUCAAUUCCUCCUCCUCCUUCCUUACCCCCUUCAUUUUCAAGAAUAUCUUCAACAUCUUCCUCUGUCAAGAACUCAUUUUCAGCUCCCUCUCCUCCUCCCCAACCCCCCUCACUUUCAGGAAUAUCUCCAACUUCCUCUGCCAAAAACU
Molecule: long non-coding RNA, 402 nt
Filed under: Citrus maxima (pomelo)
Lineage: Eukaryota; Viridiplantae; Streptophyta; Magnoliopsida; Sapindales; Rutaceae
Description: long non-coding RNA (CMAX_LNC001668)
Source: RNAcentral